GACGAACGCUGGCGGCGUGCUUAACACAUGCAAGUCGAACGGAAAGGCCCUGCUUUUGUGGGGUGCUCGAGUGGCGAACGGGUGAGUAACACGUGAGUAACCUGCCCUUGACUUUGGGAUAACUUCAGGAAACUGGGGCUAAUACCGGAUAGGAGCUCCUGCUGCAUGGUGGGGGUUGGAAAGCUUCGGCGGAUGGGGAUGGACUCGCGGCUUAUCAGCUUGUUGGUGGGGUAGUGGCUUACCAAGGCUUUGACGGGUAGCCGGCCUGAGAGGGUGACCGGCCACAUUGGGACUGAGAUACGGCCCAGACUCCUACGGGAGGCAGCAGUGGGGAAUAUUGCACAAUGGGCGGAAGCCUGAUGCAGCAACGCCGCGUGCGGGAUGACGGCCUUCGGGUUGUAAACCGCUUUCGCCUGUGACGAAGCGUGAGUGACGGUAAUGGGUAAAGAAGCACCGGCUAACUACGUG
Molecule: ribosomal RNA, 468 nt
Filed under: uncultured bacterium
Lineage: Bacteria
Description: partial 16S ribosomal RNA
Rfam family: Bacterial small subunit ribosomal RNA
Source: RNAcentral